CAUUUGCUCUAGUAAUAGCCCAAACCAGCUUACCAUUGAGUAAAUAUGUCAUUGUGUGCAGGUGACCUGGGUCAACCCCCUGCUCUGAUCCUAACUGCUGACCCAGACUUCAGAUUCAAAGCUGACUGAGGACAGUGUAUCAUUUAUUCCUGAACACCAGCUCCACAACUAAACAACAACCACAUUGAUGUGAGCUCCUCAUACAUCUUCAGCCAAGGCACACAGAAAAAGGAAAUGCCUGACAAACAACCCUUCUGAGUGAAGAAUGAUGGGAUCUAAUGCCAGAUACCAGAGUCCCUCCCCAGACCUCUUGGAUACAGGCUUUGAAAGUGGGUUAAAAAUGAGAGCAAAGGAUAAAAAUCACCAGAUAAAAAAUGGGCAAAGGACUUGAAUAGUCAUUUCUCCAAAGACGAUGAACAAAUGGCCAAAAAGCACAUGGAAGAUGCUCAUCAUCAUUAAUCAUUAGGGAAAUGCAAAUCAAAACACAAUGAAAUACCACCUCUGGUUGAAUCCACAGAUAUGGAACCUGCAGAAAUGGAGGGCCAA
This 546-nucleotide long non-coding RNA is filed under the name Pan paniscus (pygmy chimpanzee). Its description in RNAcentral is "lncRNA (ENSPPAG00000045402.1)". Lineage: Eukaryota; Metazoa; Chordata; Mammalia; Primates; Hominidae. The record is from RNAcentral.